GACGAACGCUGGCGGCGUGCUUAACACAUGCAAGUCGAACGGAAAGGCCCUGCUUUUGUGGGGUUCUCGAGUGGCGAACGGGUGCGUAACACGUGAGUAACCUGCCCUUGACUUUGGGAUAACUUCAGGAAACUGGGGCUAAUACCGGAUAGGAUCUCCUGCUGCAUUGUGGGGGUUGGAAAGUUUCGGCGGUUGGGGAUGGACUCGCGGCUUAUCAGCUUGUUGGUUGGGUAGUGGCUUACCAAGGCUUUGACGGGUCGCCGGCCUGAGAGGGUGACCGGCCACAUUGGGACUGAGAUACGGCCCAGACUCCUACGGGAGGCAGCAGUGGGGAAUAUUGCACAAUGGGCGGAAGCCUGAUGCAGCAACGCCGCGUGCGGGAUGACGGCCUUCGGGUUGUAAACCGCUUUCGCCUGUGACGAAGCGUGAGUGACGGUAAUGGGUAAAGAAGCACCGGCUAACUACGUG
This 468-nucleotide ribosomal RNA is filed under the name uncultured bacterium. RNAcentral's name for it is "partial 16S ribosomal RNA". It matches the Rfam family "Bacterial small subunit ribosomal RNA", at positions 28 to 507 of the family's 1533-position model. The record is from RNAcentral.